Ailuropoda melanoleuca (giant panda) is the source of this 744-nucleotide non-coding RNA. NCBI's taxonomy places the organism in Eukaryota, Metazoa, Chordata, Mammalia, Carnivora, Ursidae. The record is from RefSeq and is a predicted model, not a curated record.
GAGCUCACGCUACAUUCCAACAGCCACUUCCGUGAGGUCUCCAACUGCCACCGGUUGUGCCUCUGGCCUCACUUGCCCAUCACGCUGGGAAAUCUACGAGGCCGCCACCGCCUUCGGCCCCGCCGCUGCCCGCUCCGUGGCCCUCGCUUCAGAGGUGCCUUCACCUUUGCGUUGGUGCCCGGGCCGCCAGCCAUGGUCACUGCACCGCUCCCACAAGUGCGCCAGAACUACCACCCCGACUGCGAGGCCGCCGUCAACAGCCAGAUCAACCUGGAGCUCUACGCCUCCUACGUGUACCGGUCCAUGGCUUUCUACUUCGACCGCGACGACGUGGCCUUGAAGAACUUCGCCCAGUUCUUCCUGCGCCAGUUUCACGAGGAGAUCGAGCAUGCCGAGAAGCUGAUGCAGCUGCAGAACCAGCGCGGGGGCCGCCUCUGUGUCCGUGACACCAAGAAGCCGGACUGCAACGACUGGGGGAGCGGCCUGAAGGCCAUGCAGUGCGCCUUGCAUCUGGAGAAGACCGUGAACCAGAGCCUGCUCGACCUGCACCAGCUGGCCACCGACAAGAAUGACGCCCACCUGUGCGACUUCCUGGAGAGCCACCACCUGCACGAGCAAGUCAAGUCCAACAAAGAGUCGGGGGGCAAUGUCACCAACCUGCGCAAGAUGGGGGCUCCGGAAAACGGCAGGGUGGAGUACCUCUUUGACAAGCUCACCCUGGGCAACAGUGACAAAAAGAACUGA